This 1443-nucleotide ribosomal RNA is filed under the name metagenome. RNAcentral describes it as "bacterial SSU rRNA". It matches the Rfam family "Bacterial small subunit ribosomal RNA". The record is from RNAcentral.
AGAGUUUGAUCCUGGCUCAGGAUGAACGCUGGCGGCGUGCUUAACACAUGCAAGUCGAACGGUCCUUCGGGACAGUGGCGGACGGGUGAGUAACGCGUGGGAAUCUGCCCUUAGGAGGGGGAUAACGGUUGGAAACGACCGCUAAUACCCCAUAUGCCGAGAGGUGAAAUGAAAUUCGCCUGAGGAUGAGCCCGCGUCUGAUUAGCUAGUUGGUGGGGUAAAGGCCUACCAAGGCGACGAUCAGUAGCUGGUCUGAGAGGAUGAUCAGCCACACUGGGACUGAGACACGGCCCAGACUCCUACGGGAGGCAGCAGUGGGGAAUUUUCCGCAAUGGGCGAAAGCCUGACGGAGCAACGCCGCGUGAGGGAUGAAGGCCUCUGGGCUGUAAACCUCUUUUCUCAAGGAAGAAGAUCUGACGGUACUUGAGGAAUAAGCCACGGCUAAUUCCGUGCCAGCAGCCGCGGUAAUACGGGAGUGGCAAGCGUUAUCCGGAAUUAUUGGGCGUAAAGCGUCCGCAGGCGGCCUUGUAAGUCUGUUGUUAAAGCGUGGAGCUUAACUCCAUUUCAGCAAUGGAAACUACAAGGCUCGAGUGUGGUAGGGGCAGAGGGAAUUCCCGGUGUAGCGGUGAAAUGCGUAGAUAUCGGGAAGAACACCAGUGGCGAAGGCGCUCUGCUGGGCCAUAACUGACGCUCAUGGACGAAAGCCAGGGGAGCGAAAGGGAUUAGAUACCCCUGUAGUCCUGGCCGUAAACGAUGAACACUAGGUGUCGGGGGAAUCGACCCCCUCGGUGUCGUAGCCAACGCGUUAAGUGUUCCGCCUGGGGAGUACGCACGCAAGUGUGAAACUCAAAGGAAUUGACGGGGGCCCGCACAAGCGGUGGAGUAUGUGGUUUAAUUCGAUGCAACGCGAAGAACCUUACCAGGGUUUGACAUCCUGCGAACCCCUGAGAAAUCGGGGGGUGCCUUCGGGAACGCAGUGACAGGUGGUGCAUGGCUGUCGUCAGCUCGUGUCGUGAGAUGUUGGGUUAAGUCCCGCAACGAGCGCAACCCACGUCUUUAGUUGCCAGCAUUCAGUUGGGCACUCUAGAGAGACCGCCGGUGAUAAACCGGAGGAAGGUGUGGAUGACGUCAAGUCAUCAUGCCCCUUACAUCCUGGGCUACACACGUACUACAAUGCUACGGACAAAGGGCAGCAAGCUCGCGAGAGUUAGCAAAUCCCAUAAACCGUGGCCCAGUUCAGAUCGUAGGCUGCAACUCGCCUACGUGAAGGAGGAAUCGCUAGUAAUCGCAGGUCAGCAUACUGCGGUGAAUACGUUCCCGGGCCUUGUACACACCGCCCGUCACACCAUGGAAGUUGGCCAUGCCCGAAGUCGUUACUCCAACCCUUGUGGAGGAGGACGCCGAAGGUGGGGCUGAUGACUGGGGUGAAGUCGUAACAAGGUA